UACGAAGGGGGCUAGCGUUGUUCGGAAUUACUGGGCGUAAAGGGCGCGUAGGCGGCCGAUCAAGUUAGAUGUGAAAGUCCUGGGCUUAACCUGGGGACUGCAUUUGAUACUGAUUGGCUUGAAUUCGGGAGAGGAUAGCGGAAUUCCCAGUGUAGAGGUGAAAUUCGUAGAUAUUGGGAAGAACACCGGUGGCGAAGGCGGCUAUCUGGACCGACAUUGACGCUGAGGCGCGAAAGCGUGGGGAGCAAACAGG
Molecule: ribosomal RNA, 253 nt
Filed under: uncultured bacterium
Lineage: Bacteria
Description: partial 16S ribosomal RNA
Rfam family: Bacterial small subunit ribosomal RNA
Source: RNAcentral